GAUGAACGCUGGCGGCGUGCUUAACACAUGCAAGUCGAACGGAAAGGCUCCUGCUUGCAGGGGUACUCGAGUGGCGAACGGGUGAGUAACACGUGGGUGAUCUGCCCUGCACUUCGGGAUAAGCCUGGGAAACUGGGUCUAAUACCGGAUAGGACGAUGGUUUGGAUGCCAUUGUGGAAAGUUUUUCGGUGUGGGAUGAGCUCGCGGCCUAUCAGCUUGUUGGUGGGGUAAUGGCCUACCAAGGCGUCGACGGGUAGCCGGCCUGAGAGGGUGUACGGCCACAUUGGGACUGAGAUACGGCCCAGACUCCUACGGGAGGCAGCAGUGGGGAAUAUUGCACAAUGGGCGCAAGCCUGAUGCAGCGACGCCGCGUGGGGGAUGACGGCCUUCGGGUUGGAAACUCCUUUCGCUAGGGACGAAGCGUUUUGUGACGGUACCUGGAGAAGAAGCACCGGCUAACUACGUG
RNAcentral lists this ribosomal RNA (466 nucleotides) under uncultured bacterium. RNAcentral's name for it is "partial 16S ribosomal RNA". It matches the Rfam family "Bacterial small subunit ribosomal RNA", at positions 28 to 507 of the family's 1533-position model. The record is from RNAcentral.